ACAUUCAGUAUACCAGUGGCAUCCAGCGACACCAAAUUGAGUAGCAGAGUGGGAGGGCGUGCUCUCUGUUCUAUCCUCUACUCCAUCUAAAUAUAUCUCCUCUGUCCUCCCUUUUUUUUUUUUUCUAGUCUCUACUCCUCCAAUCCAGAAAAAGGUAAUCAAAAGAUAUAAACAGAAAAGGUAAGCGAAAAUAUUAACAAUACCAACAAAAUUUGAUUUUUCUCCCCAAAUAUCUGAUCUUUUUUUGUAUUAGUACUUGUAGCGCUUUCAGGGUUGUAUUUUGUUUUGAUUUUGAUUUGUUGGUAUAAAAUUUUUGUCUUUUUCUUUUUUUUUUGAAAAAAAAUUGCUGGUUGUUACAUUUUGGUUUUUGUUUCCGUUUCAAUGACCGCGAACGGUGGAUGUGCUUUAUAUCUCCUUUUCUAACCAUUAUCUCAGAAAUCCGCAGUUGGGGUGGUUGAUUCUCGCCGUUUUUUCUUCGGUUUUGGUUGAUUUUAAGUUCCUUUUCGGAACUCAUGAAGAAGAAGAGGAAGAAGAAGAGAGUGAACUUGUCUUGUUUUAGUGUUCUAGGGUCGUGUUGAUGGUAGAAGAAAAUCUAAAGCUCUUAUGUUAAGUCUUCGUUUUUCAUUUGUCGUUCUGCUCAUUUCUUUAGAGCACUUUAUUCCCGUAAUUUUCUUUUUAGUUGUUGAGUUCAUACGAUCAUAUCGGCUAUAUUUGGAGUUUUCUUUACUUUACAUGGUUUCUUUUAUUGAAAACAGAGGUUUUUAUUUUCUCUGGUUGUUUUAAUUGGCUUCAUUGUACUUGGUUUCAAUUCACUUUGUCUGGUUUCAUUUGUUUCUUCUGGAGAUUCUUAGUUUUGUUUUUUCAUUUAUUAAUUCUUACUUGUUAAGGAAAGGUUUUCUAGAAAUGAGUUUCAUUGAAAUGCUGGCGGAAGCAUCCGAGUAAGCUACUAAUAGAACCUGCCGGAUACUUCUAUUACAGAAGAAGUAACAGGAAGCUUAACCAUGGCUGACUUAAACAAGUAGUGAUCUAUACAUUGUAAUUUAGUGUACAAUGUCAAGGCAGGCUCACCUCCCCCCUCGGUGCCCGCCUCAGAACAGGGCUAGUUCUUGCAGCACCCAAGGUACUGUCUCUCAAACUCUACAGGGAAAUGGUGAACUGUACCUUCACCACCAUCGGUUUCAUUCCCAGAGCUCCAUCUUGGAAGAACAACCCUCUUGGCUUGAUGACCUGUUAGGUGAUUCUGACACGAAUUUGAAGGGGAUCAUUCAUCGCCGGUCAGCCAGUGAUUCGUUAACUCUUUUAGAGGCGCCUGCAUCAUUGAAUCUAACUUCCAAUGCUGACAUUAAAAAUACCAUCUCUGAUGAAACUGGUACUGGUAUGGAGGCUGCAUGUAUAUAUGGUCCUAACUCUCCUCGGUGCAGGAGUAAUCUAACCCAUUCAAAAGACUCAAUAGUUUCAGCACUAUCAGAAUAUGUUCCUCAAACACCUUUGCAGCAUUCAUCUAAGAAUCUCUGCAUUCCUGAAACUGCUCAGUCUUAUUUGGAGGGAGGUGCUUGUGGUUUGAACAAUGAGCUUCAUUCUGAGACAAAGGCAGCAAAACGGCACUCAGGACAGCGAUCAAGGGUUCGAAAGCUUCAGUAUAUUGCUGAACUUGAAAGGACUGUUAAUCUUCUUCAGUGUUUGGAGUCUGAUUUGGCUGCUCGAGUUGGUUCUCUACUUCAGAGGCAUGCUAUUUUAUCCAUGGAAAACACCACACUUGAGCAGAAAAUAGCCAUCCUUCAGAAGGAAAAGUUGAUCAUGGAUGGUGAGACUCAUUCUUUGGUGGGUCCUGAUCUGUAUAACAUGCGACACACUGGAAGUUAUAGGCAUUAUACAUCUUCAGUUGGGACCACUUAGGGUGUGUUGGGUUUGUGGUUUGCUUGUGUUCCAGCUGGUUCCAGAAUGAGAAAUCUUGUUUUCUUGCAUUUGGCUAUAUUGUUGGUGGUUCUGGAAGCAGCAACUCAUGAUUUCAAAACCAGUCAAUAUCAAACUCUGAGGAAGGAAGUUGAGAGAUUGAAAGUAUGCUACAUAAAUCAUCUGAAGAGCAAGACUACUGUGUGUCGUCGCACAGGAUCUGCCAUUGAUGCAAUAAUCUCAGACAGUAGUUGGCAGAUGUUAGACAUUGGAAAACUUAGUCUUGGUGRAAACUAGUUGCACUGAAGCAUGGUUUCAGAUGGUAAUUUGGCUUUGAAGAUAUCGGACCUCGAUCAAUUUCUCCCUCGUCUGAGGAAUUAAGCAGAAGUUUUACUAAUUUUCAGGUAGCUAGCUAUCUAUGUUAUCAUGCAACUAUUGCCUGUAAAUAAUCUCCUACUUGGUAUUCCACGAACUAGGAAUCAAUGCUUGGACCUCUGCAUUGUACAAGAAUGCAAGUAAGCAAGUAUUUUUCCUUGCUAAAAGCCUGGUUAAUUAUAUACGUACAUAUGCUUAUGAAACAGACAAUGAGAUGCUCGUCACAAGCAUGCAUGCACCUACAGUGAUGUUAAUACAGUUUUGAGUUAAUUA
Molecule: non-coding RNA, 2541 nt
Organism: Nelumbo nucifera (sacred lotus)
Lineage: Eukaryota; Viridiplantae; Streptophyta; Magnoliopsida; Proteales; Nelumbonaceae
Source: RefSeq, a predicted model, not a curated record